ACGUACGCUGGCGGCACGCCUAACACAUGCAAGUCGAACGAAGUAGCAAUACUUAGUGGCAGACGGGUGAGUAACAUGUAGGUAUCUGCCCUUUGGCCUGGAAUAACACGAGGAAACUUGUGCUAAUACCGGAUAAGUCUUUACGGAGAAAGCUUUAUGCACCAUUGGAUGAGCCUGCACUUGAUUAGUUUGUUGGUGGGGUAAUGGCCUACCAAGACUGUGAUCAGUAGCUGAUUUGAGAGGAUGAUCAGCCACAUUGGGACUGAGACACGGCCCAAACUCCUACGGGAGGCAGCAGUGGGGAAUCUUGCACAAUGGAGGAAACUCUGAUGCAGCGAUGCCGCGUGAGUGAAGAAGGCCCUUGGGUUGUAAAGCUCUUUCGUCGGGGAAGAAAAUGACUGCACCCGAAUAAGAAGGUCCGGCUAACUUCGUGCCAGCAGCCGCGGUAAUACGAAGGGACCUAGCGUAGUUCGGAAUUACUGGGCUUAAAGAGUUCGUAGGUGGUUGAAAAAGUUGGUGGUGAAAUCCCAGAGCUUAACUCUGGAACUGCCAUCAAAACUUUUCAGCUAGAGUAUGAUAGAGGAAAGCAGAAUUUCUAGUGUAGAGGUGAAAUUCGUAGAUAUUAGAAAGAAUACCAAUUGCGAAGGCAGCUUUCUGGAUCAUUACUGACACUGAGGAACGAAAGCAUGGGUAGCGAAGAGGAUUAGAUACCCUCGUAGUCCAUGCCGUAAACGAUGUGUGUUAGACGUUGGAAAUUUAUUUUCAGUGUCGCAGCGAAAGCGAUAAACACACCGCCUGGGGAGUACGACCGCAAGGUUAAAACUCAAAUGAAUUGACGGGGACCCGCACAAGUAGUGGAGCAUGUGGUUUAAUUCGAAGAUACGCGCAGAACCUUACCAACACUUGACAUGUUCGUCGCGACUUUAAGAGAUUAAAGUUUUCGGUUCGGCCGGACGAAACACAGGUGCUGCAUGGCUGUCGUCAGCUCGUGUCGUGAGAUGUUGGGUUAAGUCCCGCAACGAGCGCAACCCUCACUUUUAGUUGCCAUCAUUUAGUUGGGCACUCUGAAAGAACUGCCAGUGAUAAGCUGGAGGAAGGUGGGGAUGACGUCAAGUCCUCAUGGCCCUUACGUGUUGGGCUACACACGUGCUACAAUGGUAUCUACAACAGGAAGCAAGGCGGCGACGUCAAGCAAAUCCUUAAAAGAUACCUCAGUUCGGAUUGCACUCUGCAACUCGAGUGCAUGAAGCUGGAAUUACUAGUAAUCGUGGAUCAGCGUGCCACGGUGAAUGCGUUCCCGGGUCUUGCACUCACCGCCCGUCAAG
This 1325-nucleotide ribosomal RNA is filed under the name uncultured bacterium. Its description in RNAcentral is "bacterial SSU rRNA". It matches the Rfam family "Bacterial small subunit ribosomal RNA", at positions 29 to 1401 of the family's 1533-position model. The record is from RNAcentral.